Long non-coding RNA from Helianthus annuus (common sunflower), 1462 nucleotides. RefSeq lists it as uncharacterized. The transcript is spliced from 9 exons. Lineage: Eukaryota; Viridiplantae; Streptophyta; Magnoliopsida; Asterales; Asteraceae. The record is from RefSeq and is a predicted model, not a curated record.
UUAAUAUUAAGGGAGUCUUCCACUUCCUGAUUUGUGUAUGUUUGCUGAAUCAGUAUUAAUAUUUCAGAUUUGUGGCUGGUAAGUAAUCCACUCUAAUUCGAUUGUGUGUAUGUAUGAGAUUCAACCCGAGAAUGUGAUUGCUUUCCUACAGAUCGAGAAUCAAGGAACAAUGGUGGUGGUGCAAGCACCAGGCCAGCGGCGGCUUAGGGUUAGGGGUUCAACAAGGGUCAUUGACGAUGUGCUAGCCAAGAAGUGGCAUCCAGAUGCAAAUGAAAACGAUCCAGAAGCAGUAAAAGGUUUCAGGAAGUUUCAAAGGCAUAUGUGACUACUAAGGUUCUGAAAGAUGAAGAAAAAUGAGCUCAAUCAUGAUCAGCUGUAUAGCUUGGUCAUGACACUUUUGAAGCAAGUGCUAGUGCAGCUGGUCUCGGUCAAUGGCGCAAUCCAUUUCAGGACCUCAAUGAUAUUUUCGGUUUUGGGCCAUUUGCUAGGCAAUUUACCGGCAAGGAUGCUAAGGUCGCCCUUGAACUUUCGUUUAUGGAGGUUGUUCAGGGAUGUACAAAAAAUAUAGCAACGACACUUAUAGAAACGACUUGGGUGACCUAUAGGGACGGGACUAUAGAGACAAUAUGUUGUAGAGACGACAUGUCGUCUCUACAGGUGAAAAAGGCUUAUAGAGAGGACAUGUCCUCCCACCGGCCAAAAAAAUGUCGUCCCUAUAGAAUCUUUUUCUUGUAGUGAUACCGCGCAACCUGAGACGGACUAUUUGGAUGCAGCUUUAGUUACCAUAUUUCAGAUACACAUGGAGGAAGGGCCUGGUGAUAUACUUGUUUUUUUAUCUGGUCAAGAAGAGAUUGAAUCCAUUGAGGGUCUUGUGCAUGAAAAUCUCAAGAAAUUACCUGAAGCCAAUCAGAAACUCUUAAUUUAUCCACUGUUCUCUUCUCUUCCAUCGGAGAAGCAAAUGAAAGUUUUCACACCUGCUCUAGAUGGGUUCAGAAAGGUUACACUGGCAACAAACAUUGCUGAAAUAUCAGUAACAAUACCAGGAGUCAAGUAUGUUAUUGAUCCUGGAUUGGUAGAGGUGUGCAAUUACUCUCCUGACAGUGGGAUCGAAUCUUUGAUUGUUGUUAAAACCUCGAAAGCUCAAGCUCUUCAAAGAAGGAUGAUCCCCUAUGUGUUGCUGCCAGACAAGAUGGGAAGAUAUUAGUCUCUAGUUUGUGGGUUGAUCACAGUUUCGAUGUCGGAGCGCCUGUGGAUACAACCUCAGUCACGAUAUUUAACUCGCAUGAAGAUUGUGAAAGAGAUUCAUGAACAUAAUGAAGUUUUGUGUUUUUAUUCAUACACUUGUUAGUUUAUUUGGGUUAUAUGUUUGAUCAUUAGACUUAGAUCGACACUUAUUAGCCAUUUGGAAUCUUUGUAAGAUUGAUUGAACUUCUAAUGAAGUGAUUAUUUUAUGAUUUCUACA